GCAUCGACCAGAGGGAAAAGGAGCAAUCCGCUUUGAGAUGGCCUCGCGUCCGAUUAGCUAGUUGGUGAGGUAAUGGCCCACCAAGGCGACGAUCGGUAGCCGGACUGAGAGGUUGAACGGCCACAUUGGGACUGAGACACGGCCCAGACUCCUACGGGAGGCAGCAGUGGGGAAUAUUGCACAAUGGGGGAAACCCUGAUGCAGCGACGCCGCGUGGAGGAAGAAGGUCUUCGGAUUGUAAACUCCUGUUGUUGAGGAAGAUAAUGACGGUACUCAACAAGGAAGUGACGGCUAACUACGUGCCAGCAGCCGCGGUAAAACGUAGGUCACAAGCGUUGUCCGGAAUUACUGGGUGUAAAGGGAGCGCAGGCGGGAAGACAAGUUGGAAGUGAAAUCUAUGGGCUCAACCCAUAAACUGCUUUCAAAACUGUUUUUCUUGAGUAGUGCAGAGGUAGGCGGAAUUCCCGGUGUAGCGGUGGAAUGCGUAGAUAUCGGGAGGAACACCAGUGGCGAAGGCGGCCUACUGGGCACCAACUGACGCUGAGGCUCGAAAGUGUGGGUAGCAAACAGGAUUAGAUACCCUGGUAGUCCACACCGUAAACGAUGAUUACUAGGUGUUGGAGGAUUGACCCCUUCAGUG
This 640-nucleotide ribosomal RNA is filed under the name uncultured bacterium. RNAcentral's name for it is "bacterial SSU rRNA". It matches the Rfam family "Bacterial small subunit ribosomal RNA", at positions 188 to 845 of the family's 1533-position model. The record is from RNAcentral.